RNAcentral lists this ribosomal RNA (363 nucleotides) under Lactococcus lactis subsp. lactis. Its description in RNAcentral is "bacterial SSU rRNA". It matches the Rfam family "Bacterial small subunit ribosomal RNA", at positions 49 to 402 of the family's 1533-position model. The record is from RNAcentral. Lineage: Bacteria; Bacillati; Bacillota; Bacilli; Lactobacillales; Streptococcaceae.
UAAUACAUGCAAGUUGAGCGCUGAAGGUUGGUACUUGUACCGACUGGAUGAGCAGCGAACGGGUGAGUAACGCGUGGGGAAUCUGCCUUUGAGCGGGGGACAACAUUUGGAAACGAAUGCUAAUACCGCAUAAAAACUUUAAACACAAGUUUUAAGUUUGAAAGAUGCAAUUGCAUCACUCAAAGAUGAUCCCGCGUUGUAUUAGCUAGUUGGUGAGGUAAAGGCUCACCAAGGCGAUGAUACAUAGCCGACCUGAGAGGGUGAUCGGCCACAUUGGGACUGAGACACGGCCCAAACUCCUACGGGAGGCAGCAGUAGGGAAUCUUCGGCAAUGGACGAAAGUCUGACCGAGCAACGCCGCGU